CCUACGGGUGGCAGCAGUAGGGAAUAUUGCCCAAUGGGGGAAACCCUGAUGCAGCAACGCCGCGUGAGUGAUGAAGUAUUUCGGAAUGUAAACCUCUAUCGUCAGAGAAGAAAAUGACGGUACCUGAUUAAGAAGCACCGGCUAACUACGUGCCAGCAGCCGCGGUAAUACGUAGGGGGCAAGCGUUAUCCGGAUUUACUGGGUGUAAAGGGAGCGUAGACGGCAGAGCAAGUCUGGAGUGAAAUGCCGUGGCUUAACCCCGGCACUGCAUUUGAAACUGUGCAUCUAGAGUGCAGGAGAGGUAGGUGGAAUUCCUAGUGUAGCGGUGAAAUGCGUAGAUAUGAGGAGGAAUACCAGUGGCGAAGGCGGCUUACUGGACUGUAACUGACGCUGAGGCUCGAAAGCGUGGGGAGCAAACAGGAUUAGAUACCCGAGUAGUC
Molecule: ribosomal RNA, 440 nt
Filed under: uncultured bacterium
Lineage: Bacteria
Description: partial 16S ribosomal RNA
Rfam family: Bacterial small subunit ribosomal RNA
Source: RNAcentral